GGGCGAUUAACUCAAUGGUAGAGUGCCAUGUUCACAGCGUGGAGGUUACUGGUUCGAGUCCAGUAUCGCCCACCA
This 75-nucleotide transfer RNA is filed under the name Planctomycetota bacterium. Its description in RNAcentral is "Planctomycetes bacterium (activated sludge metagenome) tRNA-Val". It matches the Rfam family "tRNA". From Rfam's summary of the family: Transfer RNA (tRNA) molecules are approximately 80 nucleotides in length. The record is from RNAcentral. Lineage: Bacteria; Pseudomonadati; Planctomycetota.